CUGGGUUUGACAUGGAUCAGGAGUGCUUAGAGAUGGGUGCGCCUCUUUUGGGGCUGGUUCACAGGUGGUGCAUGGCUGUCGUCAGCUCGUGUCGUGAGAUGUUGGGUUAAGUCCCGCAACGAGCGCAACCCUUGUUCACUGUUGCCAGCACGUUAUGGUGGGGACUCAGUGGAGACUGCCGGGGUCAACUCGGAGGAAGGUGGGGAUGACGUCAAGUCAUCAUGCCCCUUAUGUCCAGGGCUUCACGCAUGCUACAAUGGCUGGUACAAAGAGUUGCGAGCCUGUGAGGGUGAGCGAAUCUCGGAAAGCCGGUCUCAGUUCGGAUUGGGGUCUGCAACUCGACCUCAUGAAGUCGGAGUCGCUAGUAAUCGCAGAUCAGCAACGCUGCGGUGAAUACGUUCCC
Molecule: ribosomal RNA, 403 nt
Filed under: uncultured bacterium
Lineage: Bacteria
Description: bacterial SSU rRNA
Rfam family: Bacterial small subunit ribosomal RNA
Source: RNAcentral